Xyrauchen texanus (razorback sucker) is the source of this 1650-nucleotide long non-coding RNA. RefSeq lists it as uncharacterized. The transcript is spliced from 3 exons. NCBI's taxonomy places the organism in Eukaryota, Metazoa, Chordata, Actinopteri, Cypriniformes, Catostomidae. The record is from RefSeq and is a predicted model, not a curated record.
AGAGACAGUUGCGCGAUUUAUUAAGAAUUUAUUAAUCGCUUUUAAUUAAUUUGCUGCCAGGUGUUGUUGAAAUAUCACAUGGAGAGCGUUCUUUGCUAGGAAAUACCUGGCAACAUGUCUUCAUUAUAUCACACGCAGUGGAUAAAUUAAUCUCAAUACAACAGCCAAAACAAGCACUUCUCCUCUGAUGGCCUCCUUACAACAGUUAAGACUUCUUCUCUGGAAAAAUGGCCUGGGUGUCAUCCGGCAGCCAGCUUGGUCGCUGGCUCUCCUUAUCUGGCCUCUUGUGAUCUUUAUCAUCUUGGCCAUCACCCGUACACAGUUCGCUCCAAUCCUCAAAGAACCAUGUGUGUACCUCUCUCAAACAUCAUCCUAUAUAUAGACUACAAGAGAAAGUCAAAUAAAUGUGUCAAUAUCUCACAUUAUCUAGUGUUUAAUGAUAAUGUUUUAGUGUUUUGAGCUGAGAGUCCAAUGGGAGUUUUCUAGUUUUGGAGAUCCCUCGAGGAUCAGGUUGUUAUGUCUGGUCUUUCCCGUAAGUCGCUCCCUCUUGCCUUGCGGUGUGCUGUUCAGGUAAACCCAGUGUUUAUCUAUCUGUAUAUCCAUCAUACUGUAAGUAACUCAAAACACAUUUCAUAACAUCAGUAAACUAAUGCUUAAACUUAGUGGUCAACCAUUUUGGCAUCAGUGCUAGUUCUAGUUGAUGUAUUUGCCUUAAUAUUUACAUUUGAAAGGUACUUACUGUUUAGGUGACGGUGUGAAUAGGUGCUAGUUGUGAAAGAGGUUUUCUAUUCUUAGAAGACAAUGCCUUUGUUACUUGAUUUUCCCACCAUGUGAUUCUUACAUUGAUUAGCUCAAGCAACAUGAUGAAGUAAAGAACCCAAGUGUUAUUGGUACAGAAGUGACAAAGAAAUAUAAUAGACGAUAAUCCCAAGAUAAAAGUAGAGAAUAAAUAUUUUUGCAAAUGUUUACCUCACAAUACUAUAUUGAUAUUCUCAUGCCAAUGGACAAUAUUUUUAUUUAAAGAUGCACUCAGUACUGGUAAUUUUUUCUUUUGUUGUCCUGGACUUGGACACUGACAUCUAUCGGCAUGGAUGCAGCAUCAUUCAAACGCAAUAGAUUUCAGUUACCAAGGUGUAUUCAGCAUUGUUUUCAUCAUUAAAUAAGCGUUACUCCUUUAAAACAUUUAUUGUAAAUUUAAAAUCUAUGUAUAAAAUCAUGAGCAUUUACAUGAAAAUGAAGACUCCAGUCAUUUCAGUGACCAUAUAAAAGCUGUUUUCAUUCUAUAUGGAGAGGGUCUCAUAAUUGGGGCUGCCAUGUUAAGAUCACAUGGCCAGCCGAAUACUACUCGCUUAAUCUCAGCAACCAGCCUGUAAUUGGACACUUGUAACAUUAGCUCAAUCCACUCAAAUAUUUAUAUUUAAACAAAAUCAAAACUCAGAACUAGCUAAGAAUAUAACUGCAUAAACGCUGAAGUGUGCAAAGCAGAUAAAAGAGAAACAAGUGAGUAAAAGAUCACAAUGACCACAUUUACAUGCACUUAAAGUGUUUUAUUCCAGGGAUUUUUGUAGUACCGGUAAGUGGUAUUCUGAAACGUCAUGUAAACGAGAAUUCAAUUACCUACCAAAAUUGCUGAAUGAAACACACAAAGAA